UCGAAGACUUCACAGAGUGUUGCCUGUUGCUGAUCCACAAAAGGAUCUGUCCAAAAAUAUAUUCUCUUCUGUUCUUUUCUGAUGUGUUAAAAUUGUAUCAAGCUGAGUCUCAAACAUCCUGACAAUCUUGGCUAACCAAAAAAAGGAGGGGAUGAAGAUAACUCAUCGACUGCAACGUCACCGACAGCACAAUGAUAGCACUUGUCCAAGGCUAUAUGAAAAUCAGACAUAUGGAGGGAAAAGGAGGUCUCAAAUGCUGUUUCAGAUGGUGUGAGAUUCCUGUGUGGCUAUUUCCCCCAUUGCCCAUUGCAUCAACAGCCUGCUUUCACAUCUUCCUCCUUCUGUUAUUAUGUUAUGAUCUACAAUCACAAAGCUCCUAUGGACUUCUACCUGCCCUGAGAGGGCCUUGGAUUCUGUCUGGAUGCGGUCAGAAGUUCUCAUGCACAAUGAAUGAAUGUAGAGCUGUGCUGUCCCCCUUUGGAGCUAAAGUUGAUCAGAUUGACAUGGGGUUUUUCCAACACUUGUUCUAUACUUUGUAUAGGCCUAAAACUGUCACAGUUUUUCUUUAUUUUACCAUUUCAAACAUUUGUUUAUCUCUUAUGAACUUAAUACACAUAUAAUUCAGUGCAUUAAAGGAAAAAGAAACAAAAACAUUUGAAAAUGUUCAGCUCCUGAAGUAGGAAUCAGCUUGCUGUUGAGUCAUGCCUCAUACUUCAGUUUUGCUAUCAGUCAACUACUGGUGAAUAUUUAGUAUUUUGUUAACUGUAGCCAGAUAAGCGUGGACACUUCAGAGUAGCAAUGGUAGCAAAACCAGUGGAAAGAAGGGAAUUUUAUAUAAGGCCUUCAAAUGUUUGCUUCGAGGGGCAUUUCCAAAUAUCACGUUCAUAUGGGAUGGCCAUCUUCAUCUUACAAGGCAGUCUUGGAUGUCCUUACUCUCUCUAAUACUGCCUGGUAACGAUGAGGAUAACCUUCCACCAGCAUCAUAUCUUCAGUAUCCUUAAGGAAAGCAUAUUUACAUCUAACUCUGAGCCAAACUAAACUUCUUCAGAUCAAGGGAAUUUGAAUGUAUGAUGCCAUUGUCGUCAUAACACGGUGUAGAACAAUUUAUUCAUUAUUCAAGCAUUAUUCUAACCAAAUAAGAACAAAACAUAUUUAAUGGGCUAAAUAAAAUAAUUGCUUACUUUUAGAAAGUUGUUCAUAUGUGUGUCAAGUAAGUUUCAAGGUUCAACCGAAAGGUCAAGGUGAUGUAUUUUAAGUUCUGCCUACAUGUUUACUGCUUCUACUGCUUGGACAGUUGAUUUUGAACUUAGUGAUGCUUAAUUAAAACAGUAGCUCUCAGAGCACAUCUUACCUGACAGUGUUUGGCUGUUCCCAGGUGAUCUAACACUGUCUGGUAAUGAUGUUCUCAGGGUGUCUAUGACAACAUAAACCCUAGAAAUGAAUGGCAUUCUUUUCUACUAUUCACUUAAGGCAACAGUAAACAUGCUCUGACUUCAAGGUCAAAUGCCAACAAGAUUGUUGUUCUACACUGGACUAAAGAAAAGACUAGAAGAUGCAGGAUAAAUACGAAAAGCAGAAAACAAUAUCUGAUCAAUCCCCAGCCCUUUGUUUGCCACCCUUUUGUGUUUCGAUUCAGCACUGCCACUCCUCCCAUUCCGUUCUGAAAUACUGGUUUGGUGACUUGUCACCUACUCAAACUCAUUCUCAUCCCUACUCAUUUGCGCACCCAACCCCCAUAGAUUAUGCUUGCUUGUUCUGACUGGGUGAGGAGCUCAGCACCUGAGUGGCACAAUUGUGAGGCUAAACAAAUACAAGUGAUUUCAUUGUUUUCGGUGUAUGGACUGUAUACUACAUUUUCUGAUAGGUUAUUUUCUUUCUCUCUGAGUGUCUGUAAGCAGAACUCUGGAAAGUGCAACAUAAAUGCAUCCCAGUCAAGACACAGUUGGUUUCUAUGCUUAAUGUCUACAAAUAAAUACUUGAUGUUUUAAUCUGUCGUGAUAAAAUUAUGAAAACUGCUCAACUUCAAAAUAAAUGUAUAAAACAGUU
Molecule: long non-coding RNA, 2046 nt
Organism: Alosa sapidissima (American shad)
Lineage: Eukaryota; Metazoa; Chordata; Actinopteri; Clupeiformes; Clupeidae
Exons: 2
Source: RefSeq, a predicted model, not a curated record